Long non-coding RNA from Malaya genurostris, 851 nucleotides. RefSeq lists it as uncharacterized. Lineage: Eukaryota; Metazoa; Arthropoda; Insecta; Diptera; Culicidae. The record is from RefSeq and is a predicted model, not a curated record. The transcript is spliced from 3 exons.
AUGAUGUAUGAUAAUUAUUUGCUCUUUGUCGACAGUCACUGUUGUCCGAACUCUCGGCUCUAUAAAUAGCCGCCCACGGUUGGCCGACAGCUGCUUUUUCUUGGAGUCUAACCGAUCGUAUACUGACUGGCCGUGCGUCCGUGUCCCCGUGUGUAUAUUUGUCCGCGUUGUUUACAACGUGCGAUUGCGAAUGUAGACAACCAUCAUCUGUCAUUUCGUUGCUGUGUCAAUCCUUUUAUGCACUGUCAGGACUGCCCAGCGAAUUGAACGUUGAGUUUCAAUAUGUCCAGCGAAACACGAUUUGUCAUACUUUGUUAUCGGUGACUGCUUCGAGACCAGAAUUGUUAUUACAAGUCGUUCCUCACUGCGGUGAUAAUCAACCAAGCUUACCUGAUAUGCAUGGUAUUGUCAUGAGAGCGCUUCGAGUGUCUAGUUGGAUGAAAGCGUAGAAAAAUAAAUUCCGGAAUCAAGCACUGCGCACCGAACGGGGCUGACAUAAAGAAGUUGGAGACCUGCUUGAAGAGCCUUUAUUUGUUCAACUUGAAGUAGCAAACAGUGUAUUCAAUGAAAACUGAAACAGAUACGAAGCUAACCUCCUACCCACAGUAGCACCAUAUUGGACAUCCAUGUUUCGUGAAGUGACAUUAGUGAACUAAAUUCAAUUGGAGAGAUUUUUUACAUCUAAACUGUCCAUACUCGUAUGUUUGUCCCGUAUGGAUUUUCGACUUAUUCGCAUUCUGCGGCGACCAGUAGUCAAUCGUCACCUCGAAGCAAUAUCCUGAAAGUCGUUUGAUUUCGCUGUAAUAAUUCACAAGUGUUAAAUAUUCAAAUUUUAUUCGAUAUACUGAUAA